This 410-nucleotide ribosomal RNA is filed under the name uncultured bacterium. RNAcentral describes it as "bacterial SSU rRNA". It matches the Rfam family "Bacterial small subunit ribosomal RNA", at positions 370 to 772 of the family's 1533-position model. The record is from RNAcentral.
AAUGGGGGCAACCCUGAUCCAGCCAUGCCGCGUGAGUGAAGAAGGCCUUCGGGUUGUAAAGCUCUUUCGGCCGGGAAGAAAUCGCAUGGGUGAAUACCCUGUGUGGAUGACGGUACCGGAACAAGAAGCACCGGCUAACUACGUGCCAGCAGCCGCGGUAAUACGUAGGGUGCGAGCGUUAAUCGGAAUUACUGGGCGUAAAGCGUGCGCAGGCGGUUUCGUAAGACAGAUGUGAAAUCCCCGGGCUUAACCUGGGAACUGCAUUUGUGACUGCGAGACUAGAGUGUAGCAGAGGGGGGUAGAAUUCCACGUGUAGCAGUGAGAUGCGUAGAGAUGUGGAGGAAUACCGAUGGCGAAGGCAGCCCCCUGGGCUAACACUGACGCUCAUGCACGAAAGCGUGGGGAGCAAA